UGGGGAAUAUUGGACAAUGGGCGAAAGCCUGAUCCAGCCAUGCCGCGUGUGUGAUGAAGGCCUUCGGGUUGUAAAGCACUUUCACACGUGACGAUGAUGACGGUAACGUGAGAAGAAGCCCCGGCUAACUUCGUGCCAGCAGCCGCGGUAAUACGAAGGGGGCAAGCGUUGUUCGGAAUUACUGGGCGUAAAGGGCGCGUAGGCGGUGCACUAAGUCAGGCGUGAAAGCCCUGGGCUCAACCCGGGAAUUGCGCUUGAUACUGGUGCGCUUGAAUCCAGGAGAGGUUGGUGGAAUUCCCAGUGUAGAGGUGAAAUUCGUAGAGAUUGGGAAGAACACCGGUGGCGAAGGCGGCCAACUGGACUGGUAUUGACGCUGAGGCGCGAAAGCGUGGGGAGCAAACA
This 402-nucleotide ribosomal RNA is filed under the name uncultured Inquilinus sp. RNAcentral describes it as "bacterial SSU rRNA". It matches the Rfam family "Bacterial small subunit ribosomal RNA", at positions 355 to 774 of the family's 1533-position model. Lineage: Bacteria; Pseudomonadati; Pseudomonadota; Alphaproteobacteria; Rhodospirillales; Rhodospirillaceae. The record is from RNAcentral.